UACAGAGGGUGCGAGCGUUGUCCGGAAUCACUGGGCGUAAAGGGCGCGUAGGUGGCGUCGCAAGUCGAUGGUGAAAGCUCGGCGCUCAACGCCGAGUCGGCCCUUGAUACUGCGAGGCUGGAGCACUGUAGAGGCUAAUGGAAUUCCGGGUGUAGCGGUGGAAUGCGUAGAGAUCCGGAAGAACACCGGUGGCGAAGGCGGUUAGCUGGGCA
This 212-nucleotide ribosomal RNA is filed under the name uncultured bacterium. RNAcentral's name for it is "partial 16S ribosomal RNA". It matches the Rfam family "Bacterial small subunit ribosomal RNA", at positions 524 to 735 of the family's 1533-position model. The record is from RNAcentral.